Long non-coding RNA from Equus caballus (horse), 1116 nucleotides. The record is from Ensembl. NCBI's taxonomy places the organism in Eukaryota, Metazoa, Chordata, Mammalia, Perissodactyla, Equidae.
GAAGACAGAACAUAUACCUAUUUUAUUUUUAUAUUGUCCUUUAAAAAGGUUCUGCUCAAUACCAGAACUGAGUCUGCUUUUUAGUGGUAGUAAACAAGAGUAAAGACAUAUCCCCGGCGUCGGUGUCCCCAGGCACAGGAGACUUGAGAGAAGGUUUUCAGUAACAGAAGCUUUAAACAUAAACAUGAAUUAUUAAUUGCAAACUUCCUAUAAAUUCUACCAGAUUACCAUUCAAAGGCGGUGCAAGUCUAUCAAUGGAGAAUCCCUCUGGGACAGUGAUGAGGAACUAGGUGCAAAGCAGCAUGGGAAGACCUGGGGUAGGCGCGGAUUCCUGGCUUCUACUGAACAAACAAUGCGGAAGAGUUUCAAGAGACAAGUAUGCUCUAUGCUUAACAAAGAAAAAUUCACUCAGAAAGAAGAAAAGGCACUGUUCAUUUCAAAGAAUAAUCCUGGUCGGAGGAUGGAGUCAAAUUGAUGGUGGGCUUGCGUUAGGACCGAAUACCGAAUAACUAGAGCUCAAGCAGAAGCAUCCUACUUCCAGUCAGUUCAGAAUCCCAAACAAAUUAAAGUGGGAAGAAAAGCAUCAUGAAGCAGAAAGUUCUCCCCAUUCUUGCCAGCAGAGCAGGAGCUACCUUGCAGGAGACAAAGAAGGGCCUGAACUAUGUGAUCGUCCUGCAGAGAGGUAUGGUUACAGUGGAAAUGGAGCCUUCUGUGCUGGUCUGCAGGAGGGCUGCUCUGCGGUAGCCCACAUUGGUGUUCUUUCCCUGUGGCUAUAGAGAUGCUAAUUCAGUUGUGUUUUAAUGCAGAAUUUUUGUAGUAACAUCAGCUUUACUAUCUUUCAACUAGAUUUUUUGCAAAUGUGAAUAUUACGGUGAUACUUGGAUUCAUAUUACAAUUUAAAGCAAAUUCAACGUUCAAACAUUUCACUGGACAAGUCUAGUUCCAAAUUGCAUUUUAAUUGAGGUAAAAGUAAAGUAAUAAUGGGUACUGGUGAGCUAUGUAUUUGUCUGAGAUUUGCUAAAUGUGGAAACUUUUAAAAAUAGAUUCUUGGGGCCAGCCGGGUGGCGCAGCGGUUGUUUGCACGUUCUGCUUCUCAGCGGCCCGGGGUUCGCCGGU